Molecule: transfer RNA, 16 nt
Filed under: Crotaphytus collaris
Lineage: Eukaryota; Metazoa; Chordata; Lepidosauria; Squamata; Crotaphytidae
Also listed under: 2 other names
Description: partial tRNA-Asx
Source: RNAcentral
CUGGAUAGGAGGGCCU